This 448-nucleotide ribosomal RNA is filed under the name uncultured bacterium. RNAcentral describes it as "bacterial SSU rRNA". It matches the Rfam family "Bacterial small subunit ribosomal RNA", at positions 329 to 794 of the family's 1533-position model. The record is from RNAcentral.
CUCCAGACUCCUACGGGAGGCAGCAGUGGGGAAUAUUGCACAAUGGGGGAAACCCUGAUGCAGCGACGCCGCGUGAGUGAGGAAGUAUUUCGGUAUGUAAAGCUCUAUCAGCAGGGAAGAAAAUGACGGUACCUGACUAAGAAGCCCCGGCUAACUACGUGCCAGCAGCCGCGGUAAUACGUAGGGGGCAAGCGUUAUCCGGAUUUACUGGGUGUAAAGGGAGCGUAGACGGCUAAUCAAGUCAGAAGUGAAGACCCAGGGCUCAACCUUGGGACUGCUUUUGAAACUGAGUAGCUAGAGUGCAGGAGAGGUAAGCGGAAUUCCUAGUGUAGCGGUGAAAUGCGUAGAUAUUAGGAGGAACACCAGUGGCGAAGGCGGCUUACUGGACUGUAACUGACGUUGAGGCUCGAAAGCGUGGGGAGCAAACAGGAUUAGAUACCCGGGUAGA